ACUCCUACGGGAGGCAGCAGUGGGGAAUAUUGCACAAUGGGCGCAAGCCUGAUGCAGCCAUGCCGCGUGUGUGAAGAAGGCCUUCGGGUUGUAAAGCACUUUCAGUAGGGAGGAAGGUAGUGUAGUUAACACCUGCAUUAUUUGACGUUACCUACAGAAGAAGCACCGGCUAACUCCGUGCCAGCAGCCGCGGUAAUACGGAGGGUGCGAGCGUUAAUCGGAAUUACUGGGCGUAAAGCGCAUGCAGGCGGCCUGUUAAGUCAGAUGUGAAAGCCCGGGGGCUUAACCUCGGAAUUGCAUUUGAAACUGGCAGGCUAGAGUCUUGUAGAGGGGGUAGAAUUUCAGGUGUAGCGGUGAAAUGCGUAGAGAUCUGAAGGAAUACCAGUGGCGAAGGCGGCCCCCUGGACAAAGACUGACGCUCAGAUGCGAAAGCGUGGGGAGCAAACAGGAUUAGAU
RNAcentral lists this ribosomal RNA (456 nucleotides) under uncultured bacterium. RNAcentral's name for it is "bacterial SSU rRNA". It matches the Rfam family "Bacterial small subunit ribosomal RNA", at positions 335 to 783 of the family's 1533-position model. The record is from RNAcentral.